UACGAAGGGGGCUAGCGUUGUUCGGAAUUACUGGGCGUAAAGCGCACGUAGGCGGACUUUUAAGUCAGAUGUGAAAUCCCGAGGCUCAACCUCGGAACUGCAUUUGAAACUGGGAGUCUAGAGAUCAGGAGAGGUUAGCGGAAUACCGAGUGUAGAGGUGAAAUUCGUAGAUAUUCGGUGGAACACCAGUGGCGAAGGCGGCUAACUGGACUGAUACUGACGCUGAGGUGCGAAAGUGUGGGGAGCAAACAGGAUUAGAUACCCCGGUAGUCC
This 273-nucleotide ribosomal RNA is filed under the name uncultured bacterium. Its description in RNAcentral is "partial 16S ribosomal RNA". It matches the Rfam family "Bacterial small subunit ribosomal RNA", at positions 524 to 796 of the family's 1533-position model. The record is from RNAcentral.